AAGACGAUACUUUCAGGGGUCAUUUCUAUAGUUUAUUACUGGAGAAGGUUCUCUGAACGUGCAGGGCACCGAGAGUCACAAGGAGCAGGUGCAGUCGAUCUCCUGGGCGUGCAGCUGGCUCUAGGUGUUGCUUCCUUGCACCUCCUCCUGCCGCUGAUGAUCGUUCUCCUCUCCCAUUUUAGAGGAAUAAGAGGAAGGCACGCAGUCUGAGUGGG
RNAcentral lists this small nucleolar RNA (215 nucleotides) under Dasypus novemcinctus (nine-banded armadillo). RNAcentral describes it as "Small nucleolar RNA U3 (ENSDNOG00000027226.2)". It matches the Rfam family "Small nucleolar RNA U3". Rfam says of the family: Small nucleolar RNAs (snoRNAs) are involved in the processing and modification of rRNA in the nucleolus. There are two main classes of snoRNAs: the box C/D class, and the box H/ACA class. Lineage: Eukaryota; Metazoa; Chordata; Mammalia; Cingulata; Dasypodidae. The record is from RNAcentral.